This 207-nucleotide ribosomal RNA is filed under the name uncultured Micrococcineae bacterium. Its description in RNAcentral is "partial 16S ribosomal RNA". It matches the Rfam family "Bacterial small subunit ribosomal RNA", at positions 568 to 774 of the family's 1533-position model. The record is from RNAcentral. Lineage: Bacteria; Bacillati; Actinomycetota; Actinomycetes; Micrococcales.
CUCGUAGGCGGUCUGUCGCGUCUGGUGUGAAAUCCCGAGGCUCAACCUCGGGCUUGCAUCGGGUACGGGCAGACUAGAGUACUGUAGGGGAGACUGGAAUUCCUGGUGUAGCGGUGGAAUGCGCAGAUAUCAGGAGGAACACCGAUGGCGAAGGCAGGUCUCUGGGCAGUUACUGACGCUGAGGAGCGAAAGCAUGGGGAGCGAACA